This 587-nucleotide ribosomal RNA is filed under the name uncultured bacterium. Its description in RNAcentral is "partial 16S ribosomal RNA". It matches the Rfam family "Bacterial small subunit ribosomal RNA", at positions 355 to 1375 of the family's 1533-position model. The record is from RNAcentral.
UGGGGAAUUUUGGACAAUGGGCGAAAGCCUGAUCCAGCAAUGCCGCGUGUGUGAAGAAGGCCUUCGGGUUGUAAAGCACUUUUGUCCGGAAAGAAAUCCUUGGCUCUAAUACAGUCGGGGGAUGACGGUACCGGAAGAAUAAGCACCGGCUAACUACGUGCCAGCAGCCGCGGUAAUACGUAGGGUGCAAGCGUUAAUCGGAAUUACUGGGCGUAAAGCGUGCGCAGGCGGUUUGCUAAGACCGAUGUGAAAUCCCCGGGCUCAACCUGGGAACUGCAUUGGUGACUGGCAGGCUAGAGUAUGGCAGAGGGGGGUAGAAUUCCACUGUAGCAGUGAAAUGCGUAGAGAUGCGGAGGAAUACCGAUGGCGAAGGCAGCCCCCUGGGCCAAUACUGACGCUCAUGCACGAAAAGCGUGGGGAGCAAAACAGGAUUAGAUACCCUGGUAGUCCACGCCCUAAAACGAUGUCAACUAGUUGUUGGGGAUUCAUUUCCUUAGUAACGUAGCUAACGCGUGAAGUUGACCGCCUGGGGAGUACGGUCGCAAGAUUAAAACUCAAAUGAAUUGACGGGGUCAUAGCUGUUUCCU